RNAcentral lists this ribosomal RNA (465 nucleotides) under uncultured Klebsiella sp. RNAcentral's name for it is "bacterial SSU rRNA". It matches the Rfam family "Bacterial small subunit ribosomal RNA", at positions 338 to 795 of the family's 1533-position model. The record is from RNAcentral. Lineage: Bacteria; Pseudomonadati; Pseudomonadota; Gammaproteobacteria; Enterobacterales; Enterobacteriaceae.
CCUACGGGAGGCAGCAGUGGGGAAUAUUGCACAAUGGGCGCAAGCCUGAUGCAGCCAUGCCGCGUGUGUGAAGAAGGCCUUCGGGUUGUAAAGCACUUUCAGCGGGGAGGAAGGCGGUGAGGUUAAUAACCUCAUCGAUUGACGUUACCCGCAGAAGAAGCACCGGCUAACUCCGUGCCAGCAGCCGCGGUAAUACGGAGGGUGCAAGCGUUAAUCGGAAUUACUGGGCGUAAAGCGCACGCAGGCGGUCUGUCAAGUCGGAUGUGAAAUCCCCGGGCUCAACCUGGGAACGGCAUUCGAAACUGGCAGGCUAGAGUCUUGUAGAGGGGGGUAGAAUUCCAGGUGUAGCGGUGAAAUGCGCAGAGAUCUGGAGGAAUACCGGUGGCGAAGGCAGCCCCCUGGACAAAGACUGACGCUCAGGUGCGAAAGCGUGGGGAGCAAACAGGAUUAGAUACCCGAGUAGUC